This 441-nucleotide ribosomal RNA is filed under the name uncultured bacterium. Its description in RNAcentral is "partial 16S ribosomal RNA". It matches the Rfam family "Bacterial small subunit ribosomal RNA", at positions 338 to 795 of the family's 1533-position model. The record is from RNAcentral.
CCUACGGGUGGCAGCAGUGGGGAAUAUUGCACAAUGGGCGAAACCCUGAUGCAGCAACGCCGCGUGAGUGAGGAAGUAUUUCGGUAUGUAAAACUCCAUCAGCAGGGAAGAGAAAAGAAGGUACCUGAAAAAGAAGCCCCGGCUAACUACGUGCCAGCAGCCGCGGUAAUACGCAGGGGGCAAGCGUUAUCCGGAUUUACUGGGUGUAAAGGGAGGGUAGGCGGAAAGGUAAGUCAGAAGGGAAAACCCAAGGCUCAACCAUGGGGCUGCUGUUGAAACUGUCAACCUAGAGUACGGGAGAGGUAAGAGGAAUGCCUAGUGUAGCGGUGAAAUGCGUAGAUAUUAGGAGGAACACCAGUGGCGAAGGCGUCUUACUGGACCGGAACUGACGUUGAGGCUCGAAAGCGUGGGGAGCGAACAGGAUUAGAUACCCUGGUAGUC